GGGGUCAUUUGGUAAUUUUGGAGGAGAGGGAACACAAAACAGAAACCCUAAUAGCCUAAUUUUUUCUCCCCUCACCAAAACCAAGUCGCCGGCCACCCCCCACUUUCUUCUUCCUUACCCGGCCAAACAGCCCCCACCUUUUGAUUUUUUUUCUCCUUCACCCGGAGCCAAACGGCUGCGACCCCCUUCCCAUUCUCCUAAAACACAGCAGCCUUCCCCUUACUAAAAAAAAAAGGGAGCCGCUCACUUCUUCCUUCUCUUAGCCCCCGCAGACCAGCGGCGAGACCAUCCUCCUUCACCACCGACAGACCCAGACCGAUCCUUGCAUCUCCAUCAACCCGAAGCUUUCCCCCUCAGCAGUGUCAUCUUCGCCUUCGAUCUCUUCAGCCCGUCAGCAGCAGCGUCCCCUACGGACCCAGAUCGGUCCGCCGCUCCUUCAUCCUCUGCUCUGCAAUCAGCCUCCAGCGGCGGCCGAGCAGCCAGCAACCUCUUCGUCUCCUUCCUCCAACGGCGCCAACAGAUCUUCCCUCUGCAACCGGUGACAGAUCCACGGUCCCCUCUCCCUCACAGAAACCAGCCGACGAUCAGCCAACACCUUUUCCUCCUCCAGCUCCGCCGGCCAGACACGACAGGAGCACAAUCGCCAACAGCUUUCCGGUCAUCAGCAGCCGUUUGAUACAGAGAACACAGGGGGAAAUGAAAAGAAACCGAGCAGAAAAAUUUUAAAACAGAUCUAAAACAAAAACUAAAACCGACUGUGUUGUGCCUUUUCUGUUAUUGCAGGUAACGACGGUCCUCACCGCCGGCGCAGGGAGACGGAGGGGAAGAAGACAUUCCGGAUCCCCUGGUUUUUUUGAGUUUCCAGCGGCGGCUCGUGAGCCCACGCGCCGCCAGUGACGGUGGCGCGUUGGGCGACGCGCCGCCAUUGUUCGGCCAUUCCAGAAGGACUCCCCUGCAAUUCCUGGAGUUUUUAGGGGCUGUUUUGUAAUUUUAAAAUUAAUUAAUGUAAUUUUUAUUUAUUUCUUUUGAUUUUGAAUUUGUAUUUGUAUUUGUAUUAUGUAAAUGUGGAUGUAAAAGAAAAAGAAAAGAAAAGAGAAAGUGAUAAAUAAAUAAAAAAAGGGAAAUGUUUGUGUGUGCUUGUAAUUUUUUGUAUGUUAUUGAAUAAAAAAAAAUGAAUUUAAUUUAU
RNAcentral lists this long non-coding RNA (1186 nucleotides) under Populus tremula. RNAcentral's name for it is "long non-coding RNA (PTRE_LNC001966)". Lineage: Eukaryota; Viridiplantae; Streptophyta; Magnoliopsida; Malpighiales; Salicaceae. The record is from RNAcentral.